ACUCAAAGGAAUUGACGGGGGAGCGCACAACCGGUGGAGCAUGUGGUUUAAUUCGAUACAAAGCGAAAAACCUUACCCAGGUUUGACAUGUACCUGCACGGCUAUGGAAACAUAGCCUUCUUCGAGAGUGGUACACAGGUGAUGCAUGGCUGUCGUCAGCUCGUGUCGUGAGACGUCCGCUUAAGUGCGGUAACGAGCGCAACCCCUACCGCCAGUUAUAAGUGUCUGUCGGGACUGCCCUCGUAUCUCGGGGGAGGAAGGAGGGGAUGACGUCAAGUCAGCACGUCCCUUACAUCUGGGGCAACACACAUCCUACAAUGGAAUUGACAACGGGUAGCAAGAGGGCAACCUUGAGCUAAUCCUAAAACUAUUCCUCAGUUCAGAUUGAGGGCUGCAACUCGCCCUCAUGAAGCCGGAAUCGGUAGUAAUCGCAAAUCAGCAGGUUGCGGUGAAUACGUUCUCGCUCCUUGUACACACCGCCCGU
Molecule: ribosomal RNA, 484 nt
Filed under: uncultured bacterium
Lineage: Bacteria
Description: partial 16S ribosomal RNA
Rfam family: Bacterial small subunit ribosomal RNA
Source: RNAcentral